Molecule: long non-coding RNA, 991 nt
Organism: Chelonia mydas (Green sea turtle)
Lineage: Eukaryota; Metazoa; Chordata; Testudines; Cheloniidae
Exons: 4
Source: RefSeq, a predicted model, not a curated record
GGCUGAAUGCUGGAGGGGAAGGAGGCAUGCUGCUAGCUCUUGAGGUGGAAGAGCCAGCCAGCGCACCAGGAUACAGAGGCCAGCUAAGCUGGGAUGCACCCUGAUACCCAGACAGAGGACUGCCUGAAGUGGAGAGCCCAGUGUUUAUGACAAGUCCAUACAUCAUCAUCCACCUUGAAAUGCCACGUGAGGCCUGGCUGUGAGGGGCUCCUGCUGCUCAGGUCACCAAGUACAAAGCCUACAACUUGAUCCCUAAGAUGGAGAACGGAGACAUGGAGAGAUUAAGAACCUUUGAGGAACUGGGCCUCAAAUGACUUGCCCAAGUUCACUCAGUAAAUCUGUGUUAAAGCUGGGAAUGCAGCCAAGAUCUCAUGAGUACCAAGCUUGUGCCUCAACCACAAGAUUGUUCUUCCAAAGGAGAGUUUCCUUGUUAAAAUGACUCUUUUCCCGAGGAUACUAGGAUCCCAGGUGUAUUGUGCUUUCAUGGACUUCUGGAGAGUGGCUUCAGAGAUGGAUCCUGAGCUGGUAAGUCAACAAAACUUCAUUGAAGUCAAUGACGCUACUUGAUUUACAUCAGCUGAGGAUCUGUCCCUCUGUUCAUAAGAACAUGGGUGCCUGCUCACAAAUGAGAAUAUUCAUGCUAGACAUGUUUACUUUAGGCCAUUCAACUUGGGAACAGAAACCAUGCCAUGUGACUUAGUUAGCCAAUCACCGAGCUCCAAUACUGGACAUCGAAUACUGCAUGUAUCACUUGCUAUGACUACUUCUUGAAAAAUCCAAUAGGAUGAAACCUGUUUGUAAAAAUUAUAGGAACAAUGAAAUUGUGAUCAGCUUGUGGAGAGUUGAAAUACAAAAGAGGGCUGAAUCCAAGGUAUACAGGGCUGAUCCAACCAGCUGUCAUUAUGACAAUGUACUUACCAGUCCAAACAUGCAUCUUCAAUCUAGACAAGCUUCAUUUGUGAUUAAAAAAAUACCAGCAAAGAAAAAAGUA